Molecule: ribosomal RNA, 301 nt
Filed under: uncultured bacterium
Lineage: Bacteria
Description: partial 16S ribosomal RNA
Rfam family: Bacterial small subunit ribosomal RNA
Source: RNAcentral
CAGUCGCCACGGUAAUACGUAGGUGGCAAGCGUUGUCCGGAAUUAUUGGGCGUAAAGCGCGCGCAGGCGGAUAGGUCAGUCUGUCUUAAAAGUUCGGGGCUUAACCCCGUGAUGGGAUGGAAACUGCCAAUCUAGAGUAUCGGAGAGGAAAGUGGAAUUCCUAGUGUAGCGGUGAAAUGCGUAGAUAUUAGGAAGAACACCAGUGGCGAAGGCGACUUUCUGGACGAAAACUGGCGCUGAGGCGCGAAAGCCAGGGGAGCGAACGGGAUUAGAUACCCCCGUAGUCCCUGUCUCUUAUACA